CCCCUCCACAGCCACAUUCAUUCACCCCAAGCUGUAAUCUGCACCCCUCCUCAGAGGCACAUCUGUUUCCUGAAAACCAGGCGGUCACUCCACUAUAAGCAUCCAAGGUUUCGCUUCUCCUUAAUGUGGCCCUAUAUCCAGACUGACCUCUGGGUAAACUCGACCCCCAUCAUAAGCCAGUGGGCCUGCUAGAGAUGGAACUUCUCCAUUUGGACAUCUGCUGCAUCAACAUUUAGCUUUAAGAGCUCAGAACCAUAACCACCGCGGCUUCUGUGCUGCUGUAGUUAGCAGGCUCCUUCCCCCUCACUCCACAGCAUCCACGGUGGCGGCCGGCACCGGAGUUCCUAGUAGAAUCACUACAAAUUUAUCCUGAAAGCGUCAAGCUACUUGCUGUGAACGUUCUGUCAGGACUCCAAGCUAAGACCAUAGGUCACCUGUGAGGAGGGCAUCAUCAGAGCUUUCCCUCCACCUGGGACACAUCACUGCACAGGCUCGGGGUCUCAACAGCGUGACGUGUCUACUUAGGACAUUGAGUUCCAUUUCCUUGCUUGGCAGGAAAUGUGGCUGCACUGUGCCUAAAGAGAAGAGAUGCUUAACAGAUAUUUUAAGGCAAAAGGAUGGACUAACAGAGAGGAAGAAUGCCUUAGGAAGCAACUGGGGUGUCAGUGAAGAAGAAAAAGCUUUCAGAUUGUUGUAAGGUACUCUAGUUUUCUACAUUAAAAUAAAGAAACAACAAUUACUGUCUAUACA
RNAcentral lists this long non-coding RNA (750 nucleotides) under Bos indicus x Bos taurus (hybrid cattle). Its description in RNAcentral is "lncRNA (ENSBIXG00005017748.1)". The record is from RNAcentral. Lineage: Eukaryota; Metazoa; Chordata; Mammalia; Artiodactyla; Bovidae.